This 465-nucleotide ribosomal RNA is filed under the name uncultured bacterium. RNAcentral's name for it is "partial 16S ribosomal RNA". It matches the Rfam family "Bacterial small subunit ribosomal RNA", at positions 28 to 507 of the family's 1533-position model. The record is from RNAcentral.
GACGAACGCUGGCGGCGUGCUUAACACAUGCAAGUCGAACGGAAAGGCCCUGCUUGCAGGGUACUCGAGUGGCGAACGGGUGAGUAACACGUGGGUGAUCUGCCCUGCACUUCGGGAUAAGCCUGGGAAACUGGGUCUAAUACCGGAUAGGAGCCAUUUUUAGUGUGAUGGUUGGAAAGUUUUUUCGGUGUAGGAUGAGCUCGCGGCCUAUCAGCUUGUUGGUGGGGUAAUGGCCUACCAAGGCGGCGACGGGUAGCCGGCCUGAGAGGGUGGACGGCCACAUUGGGACUGAGAUACGGCCCAGAAUCCUACGGGAGGCAGCAGUGGGGAAUAUUGCACAAUGGGCGCAAGCCUGAUGCAGCGACGCCGCGUGGGGGAUGACGGCCUUCGGGUUGUAAACUCAUUUCGCUAGGGACGAAGCUUUUUGUGACGGUACCUAGAUAAGAAGCACCGGCUAACUACGUG